Molecule: ribosomal RNA, 253 nt
Filed under: uncultured bacterium
Lineage: Bacteria
Description: partial 16S ribosomal RNA
Rfam family: Bacterial small subunit ribosomal RNA
Source: RNAcentral
UACAGAGGGGGCAAGCGUUGUUCGGAAUUACUGGGCGUAAAGGGCGCGUAGGCGGCCUGUUAAGUCGAACGUGAAAUCCCCGGGCUCAACCCGGGAACUGCGUCCGAUACUGGCAGGCUUGAAUUCGGGAGAGGGAUGCGGAAUUCCAGGUGUAGCGGUGAAAUGCGUAGAUAUCUGGAGGAACACCGGUGGCGAAGGCGGCAUCCUGGACCGGCAUUGACGCUGAGGCGCGAAAGCCAGGGGAGCAAACGGG